UGGCGGCGUGGAUGAGGCAUGCAAAUCGAAUGGGUUUAGACCCAUGGCAGACGAGGUAGGAACACGUGGGUACGCACCGGAGAGUCAGGGAUAACCCGGCGAAAGUCGGGAUAAUACCUGAUAGUCCCUCAAGAAUUUUCUUCGGGGGUAAAGAUUUAUCGCUCUCUGAGCGGCCCGCGGUCUAUCAGCUUGUUGGUACGGUAACGGCGUACCAAGGCUACGACGGAUAGGGGAGGUGAGAGCCUGACCCCCACCGAUGGAACUGCGACACGGUCCAUACUCCUACGGGAGGCUGCAGUCGAGAAUCUUCCGCAAUGGGCGAAAGCCUGACGGAGCGACGCCGCGUGGUGGAUGAAGCCCUUCGGGGCGUAAACACCUUUUAUGAGGGAGGAAGUUUAUUGACGUUACCUCAUGAAUAAGGGGCUCCCAACUCUGUGCCAGCAGGAGCGGUAAUACAGAGGCCUCAAGCGUUAUCCGGAUUCACUGGGCGUAAAGGGUGCGUAGGCGGUCAUAUUAGUCGGAUGUUAAAUCCUGGGGCUCAACCUCAGGCUCGCAUUCGAAACAGUAUGACUAGAAGAUAUGAGAGGUGAGCAGAACUCUCGGUGUAGGGGUGAAAUCCGUUGAUAUCGAGGGGAAUACCAAAUGCGAAGGCAGCUCACUGGCGUAUUCUUGACGCUGAGGCACGAAAGCGUGGGUAGCGAACGGGAUUAGAUACCCCGGUAGUCCACGCCCUAAACGCUGUCUGUUGGCUUUUGCGGGAAUCGACCCCCGCAGAAGCGAAGCUAACGCGUUAAACAGACCGCCUGGGUAGUACGAGCGCAAGCUUAAAACUCAAAGGAAUAGACGGGGGCUCGCACAAGCGGUGGAUCAUGAGGCUUAAUUCGUCGAUAAGCGAAAAACCUUACCGAGGCUAGAAACCAUACUGCACGCUCCGGGAAACUGGAGAAGCCUUCGAGGGUGUAUGGCAGGUGAUGCAUGGCCGUCGUCAGUUCGUGGCUUGAGCUGUUCCCUUAAGUGGGGAAACGAACGCAACCCUCGUUGCCUGUUACAAGUGUCAGGCGAGACCGCUCCCUCACGGGAGAGGAAGGUGAGGAUGACGCCAGGUCAGCAUGUCCCUAGAUGCCUCGGGCUGCACUCGUGAUACAAUGGGACACACAAAGGGACGCAAUACCGCAAGGUGGAGCAAAUCCUGAGAAAAGGUCCCUCAGUUCGGAUUGUGGGCUGCAACUCGCCCACAUGAAGUCGGAAUCGCUAGUAAUCGUGAAUCAGCACGUCACGGUGAAUACGUUCCCGAGCCUUGUACUCACCGCCCGUCAAGUCAGGGGAGUCGGAAGUGCCCGAAGUC
Molecule: ribosomal RNA, 1345 nt
Filed under: uncultured organism
Description: bacterial SSU rRNA
Rfam family: Bacterial small subunit ribosomal RNA
Source: RNAcentral